GAUGAACGCUGGCGGCGUGCCUAAUACAUGCAAGUCGAGCGAACAGACGAGGAGCUUGCUCCUCUGACGUUAGCGGCGGACGGGUGAGUAACACGUGGAUAACCUACCUAUAAGACUGGGAUAACUUCGGGAAACCGGAGCUAAUACCGGAUAAUAUAUUGAACCGCAUGGUUCAAUAGUGAAAGACGGUUUUGCUGUCACUUAUAGAUGGAUCCGCGCCGCAUUAGCUAGUUGGUAAGGUAACGGCUUACCAAGGCAACGAUGCGUAGCCGACCUGAGAGGGUGAUCGGCCACACUGGAACUGAGACACGGUCCAGACUCCUACGGGAGGCAGCAGUAGGGAAUCUUCCGCAAAGGGCGAAAGCUUGACGGAGCAACGCCGCGUGAGUGAUGAAGGUCUUCGGAUCGUAAGACUCUGUUAUUAGGGAAGAACAAAUGUGUAAGUAACUAUGCACGUCUUGACGGUACCUAAUCAGAAAGCCACGGCUAACUACGUG
RNAcentral lists this ribosomal RNA (497 nucleotides) under uncultured bacterium. Its description in RNAcentral is "partial 16S ribosomal RNA". It matches the Rfam family "Bacterial small subunit ribosomal RNA", at positions 28 to 507 of the family's 1533-position model. The record is from RNAcentral.